UCCGGACAUUGGCACCUGGUAGAGUUAGUGAGAGAGGAGACAAAAUUCUAUCACUACUCCUCAAUCAACUCCCCCAUUUAUACCGCCGAUGCUGUGAAAUUUAUAAAUAAGUUUAUGAGUUUCAUUGAGAGUAAUUGGGGAUUGGGGAAAUUGGAGCAUCAUGGUCUUGUGUCAGUUGCCGUGCCACAACAAGGACCAACGUUAGAUUGCGGGAUCUUUAUGAUUGAAUUCAUUAACAGCAUUGUCGAAAAACGGUCGAUAACAAUUUCAAAAGGAGAUUGUGCAAAAUAUAGAGCAAGGUUUUGUGCUGCUCUUUUGUAUGCACGCGAUUCACCUUUUUUGUAAAUAUUAUUUUAAUUUUCUCCAAGGUUUUUGUUGUGUAUUCAAUGUUGUAAGUAUGUUCAUGUUGUUAAUA
Molecule: long non-coding RNA, 415 nt
Organism: Asparagus officinalis (garden asparagus)
Lineage: Eukaryota; Viridiplantae; Streptophyta; Magnoliopsida; Asparagales; Asparagaceae
Exons: 2
Source: RefSeq, a predicted model, not a curated record